AGGACUAUCUCACAAUGUCUGACAUGC
RNAcentral lists this non-coding RNA (27 nucleotides) under Rattus norvegicus (Norway rat). Lineage: Eukaryota; Metazoa; Chordata; Mammalia; Rodentia; Muridae. The record is from RNAcentral.